This 2086-nucleotide ribosomal RNA is filed under the name Escherichia coli. RNAcentral describes it as "partial 23S ribosomal RNA". It matches the Rfam family "Bacterial large subunit ribosomal RNA", at positions 418 to 2489 of the family's 2925-position model. The record is from RNAcentral. Lineage: Bacteria; Pseudomonadati; Pseudomonadota; Gammaproteobacteria; Enterobacterales; Enterobacteriaceae.
CGGGACACGUGGUAUCCUGUCUGAAUAUGGGGGGACCAUCCUCCAAGGCUAAAUACUCCUGACUGACCGAUAGUGAACCAGUACCGUGAGGGAAAGGCGAAAAGAACCCCGGCGAGGGGAGUGAAAAAGAACCUGAAACCGUGUACGUACAAGCAGUGGGAGCACGCUUAGGCGUGUGACUGCGUACCUUUUGUAUAAUGGGUCAGCGACUUAUAUUCUGUAGCAAGGUUAACCGAAUAGGGGAGCCGAAGGGAAACCGAGUCUUAACUGGGCGUUAAGUUGCAGGGUAUAGACCCGAAACCCGGUGAUCUAGCCAUGGGCAGGUUGAAGGUUGGGUAACACUAACUGGAGGACCGAACCGACUAAUGUUGAAAAAUUAGCGGAUGACUUGUGGCUGGGGGUGAAAGGCCAAUCAAACCGGGAGAUAGCUGGUUCUCCCCGAAAGCUAUUUAGGUAGCGCCUCGUGAAUUCAUCUCCGGGGGUAGAGCACUGUUUCGGCAAGGGGGUCAUCCCGACUUACCAACCCGAUGCAAACUGCGAAUACCGGAGAAUGUUAUCACGGGAGACACACGGCGGGUGCUAACGUCCGUCGUGAAGAGGGAAACAACCCAGACCGCCAGCUAAGGUCCCAAAGUCAUGGUUAAGUGGGAAACGAUGUGGGAAGGCCCAGACAGCCAGGAUGUUGGCUUAGAAGCAGCCAUCAUUUAAAGAAAGCGUAAUAGCUCACUGGUCGAGUCGGCCUGCGCGGAAGAUGUAACGGGGCUAAACCAUGCACCGAAGCUGCGGCAGCGACGCUGAUGCGUUGUUGGGUAGGGGAGCGUUCUGUAAGCCUGUGAAGGUGUGCUGUGAGGCAUGCUGGAGGUAUCAGAAGUGCGAAUGCUGACAUAAGUAACGAUAAAGCGGGUGAAAAGCCCGCUCGCCGGAAGACCAAGGGUUCCUGUCCAACGUUAAUCGGGGCAGGGUGAGUCGACCCCUAAGGCGAGGCCGAAAGGCGUAGUCGAUGGGAAACAGGUUAAUAUUCCUGUACUUGGUGUUACUGCGAAGGGGGGACGGAGAAGGCUAUGUUGGCCGGGCGACGGUUGUCCCGGUUUAAGCGUGUAGGCUGGUUUUCCAGGCAAAUCCGGAAAAUCAAGGCUGAGGCGUGAUGACGAGGCACUACGGUGCUGAAGCAACAAAUGCCCUGCUUCCAGGAAAAGCCUCUAAGCAUCAGGUAACAUCAAAUCGUACCCCAAACCGACACAGGUGGUCAGGUAGAGAAUACCAAGGCGCUUGAGAGAACUCGGGUGAAGGAACUAGGCAAAAUGGUGCCGUAACUUCGGGAGAAGGCACGCUGAUAUGUAGGUGAAGCGACUUGCUCGUGGAGCUGAAAUCAGUCGAAGAUACCAGCUGGCUGCAACUGUUUAUUAAAAACACAGCACUGUGCAAACACGAAAGUGGACGUAUACGGUGUGACGCCUGCCCGGUGCCGGAAGGUUAAUUGAUGGGGUCAGCGCAAGCGAAGCUCUUGAUCGAAGCCCCGGUAAACGGCGGCCGUAACUAUAACGGUCCUAAGGUAGCGAAAUUCCUUGUCGGGUAAGUUCCGACCUGCACGAAUGGCGUAAUGAUGGCCAGGCUGUCUCCACCCGAGACUCAGUGAAAUUGAACUCGCUGUGAAGAUGCAGUGUACCCGCGGCAAGACGGAAAGACCCCGUGAACCUUUACUAUAGCUUGACACUGAACAUUGAGCCUUGAUGUGUAGGAUAGGUGGGAGGCUUUGAAGUGUGGACGCCAGUCUGCAUGGAGCCGGCCUUGAAAUACCACCCUUUAAUGUUUGAUGUUCUAACGUUGACCCGUGAUCCGGGUUGCGGACAGUGUCUGGUGGGUAGUUUGACUGGGGCGGUCUCCUCCUAAAGAGUAACGGAGGAGCACGAAGGUUGGCUAAUCCUGGUCGGACAUCAGGAGGUUAGUGCAAUGGCAUAAGCCAGCUUGACUGCGAGCGUGACGGCGCGAGCAGGUGCGAAAGCAGGUCAUAGUGAUCCGGUGGUUCUGAAUGGAAGGGCCAUCGCUCAACGGAUAAAAGGUACUCCGGGGAUAACAGGCUGAUACC